UGGACUUGGCUCUAUUGUGAGCAGUGGGUUGCCAAAAUGAUGUUCACAGUGGCUAAGUUCCAC
This 63-nucleotide microRNA precursor is filed under the name Eptatretus burgeri (inshore hagfish). RNAcentral's name for it is "Ebu-Mir-27-P5_pre stem-loop". The record is from RNAcentral. Lineage: Eukaryota; Metazoa; Chordata; Myxini; Myxiniformes; Myxinidae.